RNAcentral lists this ribosomal RNA (472 nucleotides) under uncultured bacterium. RNAcentral's name for it is "bacterial SSU rRNA". It matches the Rfam family "Bacterial small subunit ribosomal RNA", at positions 329 to 793 of the family's 1533-position model. The record is from RNAcentral.
UGCCAGACUCCUACGGGAGGCAGCAGUGGGGAAUCUUCCGCAAUGGGCGAAAGCCUGACGGAGCAACGCCGCGUGAUCGAAUGAAGGCCUUCGGGUUGUAAAGAUCUGUUGACAGGGACGAAUAAGCAAUGCGAAUAGUUUUGUGUAUGACGGUACCUGUUUAGAAAGCUCCGGCUAACUACGUGCCAGCAGCCGCGGUAAUACGUAGGGAGCAAGCGUUGUCCGGAAUUACUGGGCGUAAAGGGCGCGUAGGUGGGCGCUUAAGUCAGGUGUGAAAACUCCGGGCUCAACCUGGAGACUGCACUUGAAACUGUGUUUCUUGAGUGCUGGAGAGGCAAUCGGAAUUCCGUGUGUAGCGGUGAAAUGCGUAGAUAUACGGAGGAACACCAGUGGCGAAGGCGGAUUGCUGGACAGUAACUGACGCUGAGGCGCGAAAGCGUGGGGAGCAAACAGGAUUAGAUACCCCAGUACG